AUGCAAGGCGGUGUCCACAUCGAGCCGGGCUUCUUCGCCUUCCACCAGGACCUCGUCGUCCACGGCGUCGCCCACUUCCUAGAUGGUGCCGGCAAGUUCGUAUUCGACGACCGCCUGCACGCCCUGCUCCGGAGGUCCGAGACUGGGCUGAUUGUCAACCCGCCGGAGCUCAUGGCGCCCUACACCUCCCAACCAGUGGUCGUGCCGGAGGACUGCCGCUCCAUGUUCAUCACCUUCUCCAAGGGAAAUGCCCUCCACCACGAGGAGAUCUUUGAGUACUUCAGGCAGAAGUGGGGCGACUGUGUAGUGAGGGUGCUCAUGGAGAAGACGAAGGGAGGCCACAGGCCCAUGUAUGGCCGGAUCAUCUUCAAGACAGAGGUGAUCGUGAAGCUCGUGCUCAACGGCGAGAGGCUCGUCAAGAUCUCCAUCGGACAAUGUGAGAUUUGGCUCCGCAAGUACGUCCCCAGGCCAACCAACGCUGUCGCCUGA
Molecule: ribosomal RNA, 489 nt
Filed under: Triticum aestivum (bread wheat)
Lineage: Eukaryota; Viridiplantae; Streptophyta; Magnoliopsida; Poales; Poaceae
Description: partial small subunit ribosomal RNA
Source: RNAcentral